AGAGAUUGUAGUUUUAUACUGUUUAUGCCUAACGUUUAAUCGUCCGUCUUAUUUGAUUUUUUUUAUUAUUAGUAUUUUUAUUGUUAUUAGAUGGUAAAACAUGAAUAGCAUUUUGUGUGUGAUUAAUUUUUUAUAAAAUUUUCAAAUAUCAAACGUUUUACACGGAAAUCCACAACUACACUUAAA
RNAcentral lists this microRNA precursor (186 nucleotides) under Oryza punctata. RNAcentral's name for it is "MIR812 microRNA precursor family". It matches the Rfam family "MIR812 microRNA precursor family". The record is from Rfam by way of RNAcentral. Lineage: Eukaryota; Viridiplantae; Streptophyta; Magnoliopsida; Poales; Poaceae.